UUAAUUCGAUGCAACGCGAAAACCUUACUACCCUUGACAUGUUCAGAAGUCUUGAGAGAUUGAGAUGUGCCCGAAAGGGAACUGGAACACAGGUGCUGCAUGGCUGUCGUCAGCUCGUGUCGUGAGAUGUUGGGUUAAGUCCCGCAACGAGCGCAACCCUUGUCGUUAAUUGCCAUCAUUUAGUUGGGCACUUUAACGAGACUGCCGGUGACAAACCGGAGGAAGGUGGGGAUGACGUCAAGUCCUCAUGGCCCUUAUGGGUAGGGCUUCACACGUCAUACAAUGGUCGGUACAAAGGGUUGCCAAGCCGCGAGGUGGAGCCAAUCCCAGAAAGCCGAUCGUAGUCCGGAUUGCAGGCUGCAACUCGCCUGCAUGAAGUCGGAAUCGCUAGUAAUCGUGGAUCAGCAUGUCACGGUGAAUACGUUCCCGGGUCUU
Molecule: ribosomal RNA, 435 nt
Filed under: uncultured Dechloromonas sp.
Lineage: Bacteria; Pseudomonadati; Pseudomonadota; Betaproteobacteria; Rhodocyclales; Azonexaceae
Description: bacterial SSU rRNA
Rfam family: Bacterial small subunit ribosomal RNA
Source: RNAcentral